GUACCGUAUUUAUAUCACUGUGCUGGUGUUCCAGCCUGCAGAGCUGGGCACACUAACACGAAGGGAUGCUGGUGGGUGGGGAGGGAAACAGUAUAGUACACUUUAUUCUGCUUAGAAGUGUCUUUUUUCUUAUGUAGGCUUGACAACCUGUAGAGGAUCUCUGCAGAAUAUAAAAGAUACCUUGUUCAUCUGGGAAAGAACCCACAGAAAUCUACAGUUCUGCUGCCAAGACAUUAUUAUAGGACUGACAGAUACACGCCAAUGUCUGCAGCGGAGACUCAAGGGACAUCUGUACAUAUGUAAAUGACAAAUAGAGACAUGUUAACAGAAAUGCAUUCAUUUUCCUUGGAAUGUGCAUUGUUUUUAUUUCGCAGGAAAAAAAAAAAAAAAGCUUGAAGCUCCAUCUUAUGUGGAAAAUGAAUCCUGUUUGUUAGCGUUCGUGGAGUCCCGGCAUUCGUUUCACUUUCACUUCUGUAAUAUACUCUGAUCCUUCGUUUUGUUUUGUUUUAUCUACAUGUAAUAUUUAGCUUACGUGUACUAGUCUAUCACCUGUGUAUUUUUAGGGUGCUACAGAAAUAAUGAAGAAAAAUAAGGGGAUUACCAAAAAAAAAAAAAGUAAAUUGUAACCAAAUUCAUAACUUUGUACAAUUUUUGAUAUUGCGAUCAGAGGGGAAUUAAAAAAGAGAAAAAAAAAAGAAGUACAAUCUGACGUAACACGCAAAAACGGCCAUUGUCUUUGUUUGUACAUUGUAUGUACAGUACAAUGCAAUCAUUUCAUACUUUAAACUGGUCAGAAAAAAUAAUUGUGAUUUUUAGUCUUGCAAAACUGUAUGUAGUUAGAUGAUGUGACAACCUAAUAUUUAUCUAAUAAAUAUGUAUUCAGAUGAAACCUGUAUAUUAGGUGUUCAUGUGGUUAUUUUGUAUUUAAAGAUCAAAUUAUUUGACUAUUGCUAGACAUUUAUAUACUCUGUUGUAACACUGAGGUAUUC
Molecule: long non-coding RNA, 989 nt
Filed under: Gallus gallus (chicken)
Lineage: Eukaryota; Metazoa; Chordata; Aves; Galliformes; Phasianidae
Description: lncRNA (ENSGALG00010023353.1)
Source: RNAcentral